RNAcentral lists this long non-coding RNA (601 nucleotides) under Mus musculus (house mouse). RNAcentral's name for it is "long non-coding RNA chr7:64515310-64515911". The record is from RNAcentral. Lineage: Eukaryota; Metazoa; Chordata; Mammalia; Rodentia; Muridae.
AUGACUAUAAUGACCAUGCUGUGGUGUGUCUGAUGACAUUUUUGCUGCUGUGGUGUCUGGUGACAUUGUGUCUGUGGAUGUACUGCCUGCUCUGAUUUUUGCAGAGCUUCUCCAGAUGUGGUGAUGGGACAGCUGGACUCAUUCAGCAUGCUUUGACACCAGUGGCCCAGCAGAUUACAUGUGCAUCCUGUUUUCCUUUGUGGGAUGUCUGAUCUCAUCUGUUUUUUGUCACCGUGCAAGGACUUUGAAUGUCAGACUCUUUGGAACCGAAUAGCUGUUUGGUGGAGAGGGAGGCUCUUGUCUCCUUACCCUAAUCCAAAGGCUAUGGAUGCUUCUUUGGACUGUCCAUUGGCAUGUCUUUCAUUUGCGCUUAUACUCUUCAUCACCCUGACCAUGGCUGGGGCUGCUCACGGACUCUCAACAACCCAUGCUUUGCCUUUAGUUUAGUAACUGCUCAGUCAAAAAAAGGUCAAACAUUGUUUCCUCAACUUUCCUACCCUCUCUGCUACACUGAAACUGAAGGAUCAGGCACAGGUCUGCAUCAGCAACCUCUUCUGCAGCUGUUCCCAGAAGAUCAAAUAAAAUAAGAUAGUGGCAUGUG